UGCUAUUUAUUUAUUAAACCUGCAAACAUUUUGAGCAUGUUCUGUGAUAUGAGAAGUCAGCAGGCAAUUGGGAAAGAACAAUGAAUUAAACAUAUUUCUCGUCCUCAAGAAAGUGACAUUCUAGGGACCAGGUUCCAACUAGGCUACCAAGGAGGUUGAUUCUUACAACAGAAUGUGUAUUUUGAUACACCAAAGGGAACCCUGAGGGGGAUAGAAGAACACAAAGAGAAUAUGAUGAAUGUAUCAGCUAAGGGGCUUUUCAUAGUACUUCCUUCAGCCUCAUCCAGUCUUCACCGAUAACAUGACGGAUUCUGUCUCCAACUUUGUGAUAUCACACAGUGGAAGGCCACCAUAUUGCUUGGGAAGAAGUGUUAUGAAGACAUGUGACCUUUAGGACACGUUGAAGACAGGCUGCUGCUGCAGACUGAGGAAACUGCAGAGACUGUAGAAAACUGCCCAGUCUGGCUGUAAAAUGCUGACUUUCUCCUACUCCAGCCAUCCACUCUUCUUUGGAUGAUUGUAUUUGCUGUGUAUAUGUGUGUAGAGCACGUCACGCCCUCCUCCCUCAGUGUUUAUUUAAAUAGACUUCAGGCAGAUGGCACAAAAAAAGUUUUGUUCUAAAAAGAUUCAUACAUUAAAACAAUAUACUGACAGUUGGGAGUAAAGUGUUUUGACUUAAGGGUAGAUUUAUUCUAAUUGUACAGAAACAUUGUUCUAGUCAGCGACAGACCGUCCAUCUAAACUGUCUUCUAUUUAGAUAAUAGACUGCCUUCCUUACAGGAUAGUGGCAUUAUGAGGCCGAAGUUGUUGUUUUUUGUGUAGUGUAUAUCUUUCUGAGCUUUAUUGACCCCUCCAUCCUUUCUGAAUUGCUUGCAAGGACAUAGAAAACAAGAGCUAAAUAAAACUUUGUUACAGGGGCAUUUGAACUUGAUGGGAGUGGGUCUGGGAAUCAAAGUUUGGUCUGGAAUUUAAGUUUGUAGGUAUUAGAAAAAAAUUAUACAUUAAGACAUUUUAAAGGAUUGUCGGUUUUUACUGUAUGUAUUUUAUGUAUGAGUGUAUUUCUUGUAUCCUCAGGGGCCUGAGGAGUAUAUAACAUCCCUAGAAAUGGCAGUUUCAAAGGGCCCUGAGCUGACACGUGGAUAGUAGAAAUUGAACCCAGGCCUUCUGAAAGAAAAACCAGUGCCCUUCAGCAGCACAGCUGCUCUCCAGGCCUAGGAUGUUAUUCUUACUGCUAAUA
Molecule: small RNA, 1237 nt
Filed under: Rattus norvegicus (Norway rat)
Lineage: Eukaryota; Metazoa; Chordata; Mammalia; Rodentia; Muridae
Description: uncharacterized LOC108349948
Source: RNAcentral